UUGCCGGCGACCUUGCCAUCACUAGCCUAUCUGCAGUUUUGCAGGGAUGGACAUAUGGAUUGAAUGGUACCCUCCUGAAAUCUACACAGAUGUCAGAUCUGAGAAAGAAGAAAUAGGGCAAAGAAAAUCAGAUCGGAGAAAGAAGAGAUGGAGAACAAUUUUAACUGAAGAGUUGAAGAAGACUAAGCACGAGUCCCCCUGAAGUGCUUGACCACCGGCCGGUUGCAGUGGAGGUCAGCAUCACCUAGCUGUGGCCAUCCUGGGCGCCGAGAGAAUUAGCUGAAAAAUCUUGCUGAGAUCCAGGUCACGGGUCAUCCCCAUUCAGGUGGCUAUGAAACUUGUUCCUAAUGAAGAUAAAUUCGUGGAGGUGGCUAGGGGAACAUGAGGAGCAAGUUUAGCCUAGCA
This is a long non-coding RNA of Triticum aestivum (bread wheat), 405 nucleotides long. RefSeq lists it as uncharacterized. The transcript has 6 exons. The record is from RefSeq and is a predicted model, not a curated record. NCBI's taxonomy places the organism in Eukaryota, Viridiplantae, Streptophyta, Magnoliopsida, Poales, Poaceae.